RNAcentral lists this ribosomal RNA (456 nucleotides) under uncultured bacterium. RNAcentral's name for it is "bacterial SSU rRNA". It matches the Rfam family "Bacterial small subunit ribosomal RNA", at positions 29 to 531 of the family's 1533-position model. The record is from RNAcentral.
AACGAACGCUGGCGGCAUGCCUAACACAUGCAAGUCGAACGAAUGGUUUCGGCCAUUAGUGGCGCACGGGUGAGUAACGCGUGGGAAUCUGCCCAGCAGUGGGGGAUAACCUCUGGAAACGGAGGCUAAUACCGCAUACGCCCCUCGGGGAAAGGCUUGCUGCUGCUGGAGGAGCCCGCGUCGGAUUAGGUAGUUGGUGGGGUAACGGCCUACCAAGCCUGUGAUCCGUAGCUGGUCUGAGAGGAUGAUCAGCCACACUGGGACUGAGACACGGCCCAGACUCCUACGGGAGGCAGCAGUGGGGAAUAUUGGACAAUGGGCGCAAGCCUGAUCCAGCAAUGCCGCGUGAGUGAUGAAGGCCUGGUGUAAGCUCUUCGUCCACGACGACUGAUGACGGUAGUGGGAGAAGAAGACCCGGCGUAACUUCGUGCCAGCAGCCGCGGUAAUGUCUGUACU